Molecule: transfer RNA, 77 nt
Filed under: Candidatus Magasanikbacteria bacterium RIFCSPHIGHO2_02_FULL_45_10
Lineage: Bacteria; Candidatus Magasanikiibacteriota
Also listed under: 1 other name
Description: tRNA-Val
Rfam family: tRNA
About the family: Transfer RNA (tRNA) molecules are approximately 80 nucleotides in length. Their secondary structure includes four short double-helical elements and three loops (D, anti-codon, and T loops). Further hydrogen bonds mediate the characteristic L-shaped molecular structure. tRNAs have two regions of fundamental functional importance: the anti-codon, which is responsible for specific mRNA codon recognition, and the 3' end, to which the tRNAs corresponding amino acid is attached (by aminoacyl-tRNA synthetases). tRNAs cope with the degeneracy of the genetic code in two manners: having more than one tRNA (with a specific anti-codon) for a particular amino acid; and 'wobble' base-pairing, i.e. permitting non-standard base-pairing at the 3rd anti-codon position.
Source: RNAcentral
GGGCGACUAGCUCAGUUGGUUAGAGCAUCUGCAUGACAUGCAGAGGGUCAGAGGUUCAACUCCUCUGUCGCCCACCA